This 874-nucleotide ribosomal RNA is filed under the name Salinivibrio kushneri. Its description in RNAcentral is "bacterial SSU rRNA". It matches the Rfam family "Bacterial small subunit ribosomal RNA", at positions 138 to 991 of the family's 1533-position model. The record is from RNAcentral. Lineage: Bacteria; Pseudomonadati; Pseudomonadota; Gammaproteobacteria; Vibrionales; Vibrionaceae.
GGGGGAUAACCGUUGGAAACGACGGCUAAUACCGCAUAAUGUCUUAGUUCAUUACGAGCUGGGACCAAAGGUGGCCUCUACAUGUAAGCUAUCGCGUUGGGAUGGGCCCAGUUAGGAUUAGCUAGUUGGUAAGGUAAUGGCUUACCAAGGCGACGAUCCUUAGCUGGUUUGAGAGGAUGAUCAGCCACACUGGGACUGAGACACGGCCCAGACUCCUACGGGAGGCAGCAGUGGGGAAUAUUGCACAAUGGGGGAGACCCUGAUGCAGCCAUGCCGCGUGUGUGAAGAAGGCCUUCGGGUUGUAAAGCACUUUCAGCAGUGAGGAAGGUGGUGUACUUAAUAAGUGCAUGGCUUGACGUUAGCUGCAGAAGAAGCACCGGCUAACUCCGUGCCAGCAGCCGCGGUAAUACGGAGGGUGCGAGCGUUAAUCGGAAUUACUGGGCGUAAAGCGCAUGCAGGCGGUUUGUUAAGUCAGAUGUGAAAGCCCGGGGCUCAACCUCGGAACCGCAUUUGAAACUGGCAGGCUAGAGUCUUGUAGAGGGGGGUAGAAUUUCAGGUGUAGCGGUGAAAUGCGUAGAGAUCUGAAGGAAUACCAGUGGCGAAGGCGGCCCCCUGGACAAAGACUGACGCUCAGAUGCGAAAGCGUGGGUAGCAAACAGGAUUAGAUACCCUGGUAGUCCACGCCGUAAACGCUGUCUACUUGGAGGUUGAGGUUUAGACUUUGGCUUUCGGCGCUAACGCAUUAAGUAGACCGCCUGGGGAGUACGGCCGCAAGGUUAAAACUCAAAUGAAUUGACGGGGGCCCGCACAAGCGGUGGAGCAUGUGGUUUAAUUCGAUGCAACGCGAAGAACCUUACCUACUCUUGACAUCCAG